This 487-nucleotide ribosomal RNA is filed under the name uncultured soil bacterium. Its description in RNAcentral is "bacterial SSU rRNA". It matches the Rfam family "Bacterial small subunit ribosomal RNA", at positions 1000 to 1482 of the family's 1533-position model. The record is from RNAcentral.
CGUGAAAGCGGGAUGAUUGCUCGCAAGAGUGUAACCAGCACAGGUGCUGCAUGGCUGUCGUCAGCUCGUGCCGUGAGGUGUCAGGUUAAGUCCUUUAACGAGCGAAACCCCUACGUCGAGUUGCCAGCGGGUAAAGCCGGGGACUCUCGACGGACUGCCGCGCAAGCUGGAGGAAGGAGGGGACGACGUCAAGUCAUCAUGGCCUUUAUGGCCUGGGCCACACACGUCCUACAAUGGGUGGUACAACGGGAAGCAAUACCGCAAGGUCUAGCCAAUCCCUGAAAGCCACCCUCAGUUCGGAUUGCGGGCUGCAAUUCGCCCGCAUGAAGCUGGAAUCGCUAGUAAUCGCGGAUCAGCCACGCCGCGGUGAAUAUGUUCCUGAGCCUUGUACACACCGCCCGUCAAGCCACCCGAGUUGGUUUCACCCGAAGUCGUAGUUCCAACCGCAAGGAGGGACGCGCCGAAGGUGGAACCGGUGAGGGGGACU